GCGAGGUGCUUAGAUCCUCUACAAAUCUGCGUAGAUUCUUAUUGCUACCUCUCCAACCCCACUAUCCCACCUCUGCCUUCUUCCACCUCAAACUCCUUUUCCUCCACUUCUUUUAUUGCGACGAGAAUUUGGAGAUAUUACUAGACUAAUAAGAAAUAAUUGUAUAAAUUGUCUAGCACAGUAAGUGCUCAAUACAUACUGUUGAGUUGAAUUGAAGAUUCUUGGAUUUGUUACAUUUUUUUUUUAUAAAGAAGAAUGGUGUAUAUUAGAGUGACAGGACAGUGACAGCAUUCUCACAGAAAUUCUACUGAAUGACUAACCAGUAUUAUCAACCAGUUCAUUUGAAAACAACACAGACAGAAGAAUAAUGGCAUAGGUGGAGGAUGAGUUUAAGUCAGAAAAUAACUUUAACAUUGCAAUAAGAGGCAAAAUAAAGUUUGUUUCUGCAGAAUGUU
Long non-coding RNA from Monodelphis domestica (gray short-tailed opossum), 455 nucleotides. RefSeq lists it as uncharacterized. Lineage: Eukaryota; Metazoa; Chordata; Mammalia; Didelphimorphia; Didelphidae. The record is from RefSeq and is a predicted model, not a curated record.